This 464-nucleotide ribosomal RNA is filed under the name uncultured bacterium. RNAcentral's name for it is "partial 16S ribosomal RNA". It matches the Rfam family "Bacterial small subunit ribosomal RNA", at positions 339 to 795 of the family's 1533-position model. The record is from RNAcentral.
CUACGGGUUGCUGCAGUGGGGAAUUUUGGACAAUGGGCGCAAGCCUGAUCCAGCCAUUCCGCGUGAGUGAAGAAGGCCUUCGGGUUGUAAAGCUCUUUCGCAAGGGAAGAAAACUUAUCCUCUAACAUAGGGUGAGGUUGACGGUACCUUGAUAAGAAGCACCGGCUAACUACGUGCCAGCAGCCGCGGUAAUACGUAGGGUGCGAGCGUUAAUCGGAAUUACUGGGCGUAAAGCGUGCGCAGGCUGUUUUGUAAGUCAGAUGUGAAAUCCCCGAGCUCAACUUGGGAACUGCGUUUGAAACUACAAGACUAGAAUAUGUCAGAGGGGGGUAGAAUUCCAUGUGUAGCAGUGAAAUGCGUAGAGAUGUGGAGGAAUACCAAUGGCGAAGGCAGCCCCCUGGGAUAAUAUUGACGCUCAUGCACGAAAGCGUGGGGAGCAAACAGGAUUAGAUACCCUGGUAGUC